CUUGCCAAGCCGUUACAGC
RNAcentral lists this microRNA (19 nucleotides) under Tribolium castaneum (red flour beetle). Its description in RNAcentral is "tca-miR-3820-5p". The record is from miRBase by way of RNAcentral. Lineage: Eukaryota; Metazoa; Arthropoda; Insecta; Coleoptera; Tenebrionidae.